Molecule: transfer RNA, 76 nt
Filed under: Bacteroidota bacterium
Lineage: Bacteria; Pseudomonadati; Bacteroidota
Description: tRNA-Gly
Rfam family: tRNA
About the family: Transfer RNA (tRNA) molecules are approximately 80 nucleotides in length. Their secondary structure includes four short double-helical elements and three loops (D, anti-codon, and T loops).
Source: RNAcentral
GCGGCAGUAGCUCAGUUGGUAGAGCAUUAGCUUCCCAAGCUAAGGGCCGAGGGUUCGAAUCCCUUUUGCCGCUCCA